GGCCAGUAUUAAGUUUCUGUGAGUUCUCUUAGUUACCCAGCUUGCUGAGGAGUAAUCUUUCCACUUUGUAAGUCUGGCGCGGCGAACUACUGGAGAAGUUUGAUAUGCAGAAUUGUCACAUGGAGUCUGAAUUUGAAGUAUAAGC
This 145-nucleotide long non-coding RNA is filed under the name Ictidomys tridecemlineatus (thirteen-lined ground squirrel). Its description in RNAcentral is "lncRNA (ENSSTOG00000034898.1)". Lineage: Eukaryota; Metazoa; Chordata; Mammalia; Rodentia; Sciuridae. The record is from RNAcentral.